GCACUGGUGGUUUAGUAGUAGAACUCUCGCCUUCCAUAUGAGAGACUCAGGUUCAAUUUCCACCCAGUGCA
RNAcentral lists this transfer RNA (71 nucleotides) under Loxodonta africana (African savanna elephant). It matches the Rfam family "tRNA". From Rfam's summary of the family: Transfer RNA (tRNA) molecules are approximately 80 nucleotides in length. Their secondary structure includes four short double-helical elements and three loops (D, anti-codon, and T loops). Further hydrogen bonds mediate the characteristic L-shaped molecular structure. tRNAs have two regions of fundamental functional importance: the anti-codon, which is responsible for specific mRNA codon recognition, and the 3' end, to which the tRNAs corresponding amino acid is attached (by aminoacyl-tRNA synthetases). tRNAs cope with the degeneracy of the genetic code in two manners: having more than one tRNA (with a specific anti-codon) for a particular amino acid; and 'wobble' base-pairing, i.e. permitting non-standard base-pairing at the 3rd anti-codon position. The record is from Rfam by way of RNAcentral. Lineage: Eukaryota; Metazoa; Chordata; Mammalia; Proboscidea; Elephantidae.